This 712-nucleotide ribosomal RNA is filed under the name Photobacterium angustum. RNAcentral's name for it is "bacterial LSU rRNA". It matches the Rfam family "Bacterial large subunit ribosomal RNA", at positions 236 to 998 of the family's 2925-position model. The record is from RNAcentral. Lineage: Bacteria; Pseudomonadati; Pseudomonadota; Gammaproteobacteria; Vibrionales; Vibrionaceae.
UCCGGUAGUAGCGGCGAGCGAAACCGGAUUAGCCCUUAAGCUAGUUUUGCGUUAGGUGAAAGUUCUGGAAAGUUCUGCGAUACAGGGUGAUAGCCCCGUAACCGACAACGCAUUAUCAGUGAAAACGAGUAGGACGGGACACGUGAUAUCCUGUUUGAAUAUGGGGGGACCAUCCUCCAAGGCUAAAUACUCCUGACUGACCGAUAGUGAACCAGUACCGUGAGGGAAAGGCGAAAAGAACCCCUGUGAGGGGAGUGAAAUAGAACCUGAAACCGUGUACGUACAAGCAGUAGGAGCCCACUUGUUGGGUGACUGCGUACCUUUUGUAUAAUGGGUCAGCGACUUAAUUUUAGUAGCAAGGUUAACCGUUUAGGGGAGCCGUAGGGAAACCGAGUCUUAACUGGGCGAAAUAGUUGCUAGGAUUAGACCCGAAACCGAGUGAUCUAGCCAUGGGCAGGUUGAAGGUGAGGUAACACUUACUGGAGGACCGAACCGACUAAUGUUGAAAAAUUAGCGGAUGACUUGUGGCUAGGGGUGAAAGGCCAAUCAAACUCGGAGAUAGCUGGUUCUCCCCGAAAGCUAUUUAGGUAGCGCCUCGGACGAAUACUACUGGGGGUAGAGCACUGUUAAGGCUAGGGGGUCAUCCCGACUUACCAACCUUUGCAAACUCCGAAUACCAGUAAGUACUAUCCGGGAGACACACGGCGGGUGC